Cebus imitator (Panamanian white-faced capuchin) is the source of this 9745-nucleotide long non-coding RNA. RefSeq lists it as uncharacterized. NCBI's taxonomy places the organism in Eukaryota, Metazoa, Chordata, Mammalia, Primates, Cebidae. The transcript is spliced from 2 exons. The record is from RefSeq and is a predicted model, not a curated record.
CCCCCUUGGUAAUCCAAGAUAAUCUUCCUAUUUUAAGGUCGGUAAUCUCAAUCACAUCCACACUGAGACAUCUCUUUGCCAUGUAAAGUAACAUAUUCACAAGUUUGCAGAGAUUGGGGCUUGGAACUCUUUGGGGGACAUUAUUCUACCUACAACAGCUAGGCUUUUUUGUUUGUUUGUUUUGUUUUUUUCAUAUUUUUCUUCCUUAAUCCACACAAGAGCCUCGUAAAGGAAGCAUUGUUAUACCCAUCAUAUGUGUAUACAAGCUGGAGUUCAGCGAGGUUCCUAUUACCGCUGAUAAAUGGGGAAUCUGGGGUUUGAAUCCUGCUUCAGAGCUCACAUUCCUUCCUCUGCCAGAGAGGGAGGGGUGGAAGCAAAGCCAUCGUGUGACCCGCCACUCUCAUUGCAUUUCCCACCAUUGGUUGCGCUAGAGCUGCUUCUCAAUUUAGCAAGGUUGUCACUGUGUCCAUCAAAGAUGUCUAACUCUCCUCCUGGGUACAUGGCGUGUGUGUCUGCUGGGUCUCAGCAGGAAACAGAUGGCACACUCAAGUGAAGUUAUUGAGGAGAGAUUAGUAAAAGGACUGUCUGCAAGGUUGUGAGUGGGGCAAUGGGAAACCAACAAGGGAUGGUGGAGCACGUUGGCUAAGAACAGCUGUUGCACCCCGUUCCUAGAGGAGUACAGGGAAGAAGUGUUACCAGAACCCCAAGAGAAAGGAGAAACUAAAGGAGGGGCUGCCUGGCUGGAGCUGUGGCCAUCAAUAGUGGAACACCGCUACAACCAGCCUGGCAGGGAGGUAGGUGGCAAAGUACAUGACUUCACUCUUUUCCCUCCCUCUGAACCCCCUCUAUUGGCAAAUCUUAACCAGAAGCCAGAGGAAAGGGGAGUCUGUUUAUACAAUUCUUGAAUUUUAACUUUCCAGGCUCAGAGCAGAGUAUAGGAAAGUAGAGAGUGGAUCUGAGAGAGAUUAUCCAGCACUGUCAGACUGUCCUUCCCCAUGCCAUUGAAAUCAGGUAUGGCAAUGGGACUUGUUUGGGCCAGUGUGUUCGUUUCCUGGGGAGAGCAUAGCAAAUUACCGUAAACAGGAGGCUUAAGACAAGAGAAGUUCAUUCUCUCACUAUUCUGAGGGCCAUGCUCGCUCCGAAGGCACCUGAGAAGAAUCCUUCCUUCCUAGCCUGGCAGCCCUUGGCAUUACUAAACUUGAGCAGUAUCACACCAGUCUCUGCCACUGUCUUCACAGGGUCUUCUCUGUCUGUGUGUGCUUGCCUCUUCUUAAAAGGACAUCCAUCAUUAGAUUUAGGGGCCAAUGUAGGUAUCAUCUUGAGAUUCUUUGCUACAUAUACCUGCAAAGACCCUAUUUCCAAAUAAAGAUCAUGUUCUGAAGUUUGGGGUGGGCAUGAAUUUGUAGAGGGGGUAGGGUGGAUAACAUUCAACUCCCGAUAACCAUGUACAUCUGGACCAAAGUUUCUAGGCCUAGCAUGCAAUUUUUUCUUUUUUUCUUUCCCUCUGCCAUGGCAAUCAGCAAUGCUCAGACAGCAGCUGCCCCCUCAGCCUAGGUCCUGGAGUGAAGAUAAGGCAGAGCAGAGCCCCGGCUGACCUUCGAAGGAAACAUAAUUUAAACAGAAGUAAAUGCCUCAUCCCUCCUGAAGGAUACAAUGUACGGUAGUUAAUGACCACAGCCCAUCCCUUCAAAGAUAUUGCCAGCAGCCCCUUAACUCCCUACUUCCUUAUUUUCACACAAACACCUUCGAAUUGACCAAAAGCUCUCUACAGUCUCAUUGCUUCUUUUCAUCCCAGCUCCAUUGGCAACAUUUUACUGCACCGUAAUUCCUCUUUGGGGCCAAUGUAUAGAAAGAAAUAGAUCUCCAAAGAGUGCCUUUUGUAUCCUUGGAGGGACAAGUUUUGUAGGAAAAGAAAAUGAAGGCUUGAGCACAUGGGUGUUCCCUGAAAUGAGCUGCAGAGUAGCUGUCUGCCUUUCAGACUGACAAUUUCAAAUGAAUCCUCCACCAGAAGCAGCCAGGAAUGUCUGCUGAGAAAACGGUUUUCUGCCCACACAGGGCUCUCUAGGUACACCCUUCCCUGCCCUGCUGUGACCACGUGUGCAAAACCGCUUGAGAAACUGUGCCUCAUGAUGUUUGUUUAUUGAUGCUACUACAUGAGCUCUCUGAGCCCUUCUGCCAAUCUUCUUUUCUCUAAUACUGAUCUCAUUGCUGUGGGUGUGGGCCAAUGGACUCAGACUCUCUUUAGCGGGGAUUUAAAAGUGAAAUGGAUAAACCAUGUUUGAACUGUGAGACGACAGACAGACGUGUCUGGAAUCAUGAGAAAGGCUGCCUGAUUCCAGGCGCCAUCCCCCUCACUGAUCUAUCUUGAACAGCCCCUGGGGUUUGACCGCUCCCACAUGCCAACUCCUGCUGCAGAAGCUGCAUCUUCCCUCAUCUCUUCCCCAGCCACAGGGCCUGGGAACCACAAUGGUGGCAGGAAAGAAAAAAGUUAGACUCACACUGAGCUUAAAGGGGUGGUUCUCAAAGGGUGCUACUUGAGUUUACAGCACCUGCAGCACCCGGAAACUUGGAAAUGCAAAUUCUUGGGUCCAGCCCUAAACCUACUGCAGGAGACACAUUGGAGUGUGGCCCAGCUAUCUGUGUUUUAUUGAGUUUUCCAGGUGAUUCUGGGGCAUGCUAAAGUUUGAGAGCCACUGGCUUAGUGUCUGACCUCAGAAGACAAGUGGCCUGCUGGGACAUGAUUUAUCUUGGUAAAAGUAUCGUCAGUUCCUCUGUCCCCUUUGCUUGGUCGGGAGGGAUCCACCUGUAGUAGAGUGGAGAAUCCCUGUGAACCCAAGUUGCAUCCUGGCCUCCUGGGUGUUUUGUGUUAGCUGCAGGUCACAGGUGCUAGUCGGGGCUGUGCAGCACCCAGGAGACAGAAGCAAGUCAGCUGCAAGUGAAGCCUCUCAUGUGGACAGCAGGGUCUCUCACAUCUCCUGUUAAAGCAGCACAUGUUCUACCUUUGUUCAGAUAGAAGCCAAUGUGUACUUCAAAGUGGCUUGAGGAUCUCUUUACUUCUAUAUUCGAGAAUGAAGGAAAUGAAACUAGGGGAUCCCCUGGAGGAAUGACAGAUCAAUAACCAUUUCACCAGGUGGCAAAUUCAGUGGGUCCUACGUGGCAGUGUGUGGAGUGGGGGAGAAAUGAGUCAUAUUCUAUCGUAAUUCCAAAGAAAAUGGUACGUUCAUUUGUGAUGGCCACCUGGUCAAGACCACCUGGAGCUGUUCCUGGUACACUAAGGUAAAGAGCUCAUCCUAACCUGUCCUGUCUUUGAAAGGUAAGCAGAUUCUCUACGCAGGGCUUACAUAAGUGCUGCAUUCCCUGGAGACAGAACAAGGCUCUUGCUAGGCAGAUCAGUCAGACCUAACCGAUAAAUCCUUGGUAGUUUGGAUGAUUCUCUUAAUUUUGUCUGAUAGUACUGAAUUGCCUGAGAAAGUCCACUGGUUUCUUGCACAGCACAGUCUGAGAAUCGAGAUUAUUUUUUGUCUUUUUAAAGUGAAAAAGUUGUGCUUCUUAAUCUUUUUCUCCUCCCCACCUUCAGAGCUCUCACUGUGUUUUGGAGUAUGGUAAGUAUGGCCCCAGAAGGCCAGUAGAAUCCUGUGAUUUGUGCUCUGAUAAACCGCAUCCUGCCUGCCUUUUGGGGAUCUGUUAGUCCAUUUUCACACGGCUACAAAGACAUACCCAAGACUGGGUAAUUUAUAAAGAAAAGAGGUUUAAUUAACUCACAGUUCUGCAUGGCUGGGGAGGCCUCAGGAAACUUAACAUCAUGGCAGAAAGGGAAGAGGCACAUCUAACAUGGCAAGAGAGAGAAUGGUGAGUAGCAAAGAGGGAAGAGCCUCUUAUAAAACUAUCAAAUCUUGUGAGAACAAACUCACUAUCAUGAGAACAUCAUGUGGGAACCACCCGCAUGGCCAAAUCACCUCCCACCAGGUUUCUCCUUAGACGUGGGAAUUAUGGGGCUUACGGUUCAGGAUCAGAUCUGGGUGGGACACAGCCAAACUGUAUCAGGGUCUGCUCCUUAUGCCUAUCUGGAUUCCUUUUUCUUCCAAGAAGUGCUUUGUACUAGUGGCACUGUAAGCUAGACAAAAAGGUAUCAAAGUGCCAAGGGAAAGAAUUCAUAGUAUAUAUGUAGUGAACAUAAGUGACGUAAGUGACAGCCUUUUUCCAUGGAAGUUAAGGUGUUCCCAGUGUCCCUAAUUGGCCCCUGCAUAUGUGUGUGCAUGCACAUUCCGAGGGGGACAUACCCAUGGCUGCACCCACCCUGCAGAGACAGAGUAGACAGCUGUCCAUGGGCUGUGAUUGGAUUUUACUUCAGGGACCUCUUGAUGACUACCCCAGCUGGUCCAGGCCAAGUGCCUGCUGGAAAUUCCCAUAUCACUUACCUCUUUGGAGUUAGGCAUUGAAAGGUGUUUAAAUAUUUUCCAUGAGGUAGAGACAUUAUUAUUUAUUACUAUUUGGGCUUUAAUGAGUCUAUCAACUUAGAAGAGAAUGUGCCAGGCUUCCUCUUCUGGUAAUAAUGACGGGUGGAAGAGGAAACAGUAAGUUCUGAAAUGUUGUAGAAACGAAAACCACAGACUCAAGGAAUAGGAUGAGGACCCUGGUGAUGUGGUAAGAUAUGAAAUGAAAAAAGGGAAGUGGGAAAAUGGAAGAUAAAAUACCUCCAUAAGUCCACAGGUCAUUUCACAAGUUGUUUCUGCCUGUGGUUCCUAGUGACUGCCAUAGGCAAACUGUCUGUGGAUAUCCUCGCUCAGACACUGCUACGUUCUGCUACAGCACUGUUGCUUCAAAGGAUGUAUUCAUUUAUUAAAUACCUGGAGCACGCCUAUACACUGUGGGUAUAUCAGGAAAACAAAACCUCAUUUAUUGUGUCUACUGGCUCUCCUCAUCUCCCCACUAAAAUGCAAGCUCCCUCAUGAGGAAAAUGUGGUAUGUUAAGUGGUGUUAGAUGCUAUGGAGAGAAGUAAGGCAGUGAGUGUGAUGCUGUUUUAAAUAAGGUGGUCAGAGAAAGCUCACUAAAAGAGAGUAUUUGAGUGUAAAGGGAGUAAAGGGUGAGCAAGCCAGGCAGAUGUCAAUGUAGAGAUCAUUUCAGGCGGAGGGAAAGGUCCAUACAAGGCCGGGCAACCGGAGCAUGCCUGGCUUACAGAGGAAGAUCAAGGGGUGGGGGAGUGGCCAGCGUGGCCAGACCAAAGUGAGAAACAGGAGAACAGCGCAGAUGAGAUCAGACAGGUCAUGGGGUGGGGAGGGGGGGAAGGCGGGGAUGGAAUUUAAUAGGUUAUUCCAGGGGUUAGCAAACAUUUUCUGUAAAGGGCAAAAGGUGGUAAAUAUUUGUUCAGUUCCUAAGGUCUAUGUUUCAACUCCGUGACUUUGUCAUUAUACCAUGAAAGAGCCACAGAUAAGGUAAAUUAAUGAGUUGGGCUGUUUCAAUACAACUUUAUUUACCAAAGCAGUUUACAGGACAGAUUUUGCCCAUGCUGACCCUUAGGCUAUUGCAAUAAUCUGGAGCAGAGAUGAAGGUAUCUUGGAUCAGAAUUGUAACAGUAGCGGGAGCAAGAAGGGGUCAGAUAUUGGCUAUGUUUUGAAGGUAGAGCCAGCAGGAUUUGCUGUCAGACCAAAUACUCCACAGUUUUUGGUCUGAGCAACUGGAGUCAGACUGCUGAAAUGAGGAAAACCGACAGAGGAGGUAGGUAGGAGGAGGGGCAUAAGGAAUCCAUCUGGGACAUGAAAAUUUGAGAUUCCUUUAGGAUAAAGGAAUUGGAUUCAAUGUUCCUUAACUCCUCUUCUAGCUCUCAUAUUCCAUGACUCUGCAACUGUGAGAGAAUGACGUCUACCCCAGUGGCUUCUGCUGUGAUCGUGUUCUUCAGGGAGACCUUCCACACUGUGUUACUCCAUCCUCCCAAAUGCAAGUGGUGAUUAUGUUGGCUAGAGAUAAGUUGCUGGAAGGAAGAAAUACUGAAAGGGAGGCAACUGCCAGCUGCAACUAGCAGGGGGACUCGGAAGAGUGUCAUAAACGGUAUAUGUGCCGGAGGAGGCUUUGAGGGCUGGAGGCAAAUCCCUGUGUCUCUUAGUUUCCGGGAGGUUGCUAAUAAUGGAGUGUUGUCAGCAGAACGGGUUAAUGUUUAACAGGUUUUCAGAGAAAAGCAAUGCCGCUUCUUAAACUUCACAUCCACUCCAUGCUCAAAAUGGCCACACUUCAGAUGUGCUCACCCUCCAUAGAGGUGCUUUGGAGCCCUACACAGAUUCUGAUGGACUCUAUACGCCUGUAGGACACAGCCAUGGUCUUUGUCACUAGCUUCUCCGGGCAAUUUCCUCUGUCUUUGCUCUCAUCUCUCAUCGCUGGGAUAUAUGUCUUCUGUCUGCCCAAAUUCGUCCCACUCAAAAGGUGGCUCUGUGCCAGUGGGAUUGUUUGCUAUAUGGAGAGCCUGCAAACCACUUUGGGAGUGAGCUGAUAGCAAUAUAUUUAAAAUAUGAGCAUUUAUCAGAAGCAGCAGAUGGAGGCAGCAGAGUGGAGCUCCCAGAACUGAGGGCAGGGAGUGUUUCAUUCAACUGUAAAGGCGCACCAUCUAGACUCAGCUGGCACCAGCUCAUGAAACCAGUGAAGAGAAGGAGGGAAAAAAAGGCCACCUUUGUGCUAGGUUCGGAAGGUCACAGCGUUCCCUGACCUUGAGUCCUCGGUGCCUCAAAGACAGCAUUCACUCUACGACUAGAAAAAACAAAAACCUUCCCCGUUGCUCUCUUUAAUAUUUUUUAACUUCCUUAAAGCUUAGUAAAUUGAAGAAAAAUUCUGAAGCUCAGAACAAAUGGAAAAAUAAGCCAUUUCAUCUACGUAUGCAUGCAUUAAUUCAUUCAACAAAUGUUUGUUACAUGGAUCAGGCAUGGCAGAAUCUAUGGAAUACUCUGGAGCAGAGAACAAUGAGGCAGAAAGAUAUGUUAUUGUAAUUAUUAAAGAUUAAACAUGUUGAAAGUAUUUUAAUUUUCAUUUUUUACCACCAUCUCCUAACCCACCCCUAAAAGUAAAAAUAUAUUUACAGCCUUUUCUACUUACUAUUUGAACUAAAAGAAGCAUAUGUUUUAGUGGUAAUUUCCUCAGGAUACAAGUAGCAAACUCAAUGCAUUAGUGGGAAAAGGACAACAAGAUUAAUUUCAAAUCACCUGUUUAAGAAGAAUACUGUGAUGGUGGCAUCCAUUUGCAAAAGUCAGAUUUAACACCUGAUAUGAGGUCUGCAAAAAGGGCCCCAAGUCACCCCACAGAGGGCUUAUACAUUACACCUAUAACAACAAACCUUUGGGGAAAUGCCUGCCUUCAGUUAUUUUUGAGAGACUUUGAAAAGUGACGUUAGUGAAUAAAUCACAUAUUUCUUCAUAUUGCCUUUAUAUGAGAGUUUCAAAAUAUGAAUCUUUGUGCCAUUAUAUAUGGAAGGUGUGGAUCUUUGGAACUGUGUAGAGCUGUUUUCUGAAAAAUUCUCCCCAAAUCCCCUGGUCAGAAUUAAUCACUCCUUCCCUUGGUUCCACCAGGGAGGUAUAAAGUCACAUUUAACGAUACCAAGUAAUGUAUGCAGCUGUUUCUCAUGAUGCAUUGUGAAUUUGCCGAAAGAAUCUGUAGCUCAGUACCUGGCACACAAUUGACACUUGAGUAUGUUAAAUACAAGAGCAGAGAUUGCAGAAAUUGUUGAAGUUAUAAUGAAGAAAAAAAAAAGGUUACCAAAUGUCCAUUUUUAUCAUACUAUCUUCGGGGUAAAAUAGAUAUAUUGGAAACCUUCCACUUUAAUGGAUGACCAUAGCUUAUCUACAUGCUCUCACAGUUGUUUUUAAUUUUUAAAGUCAUUUAUUCCACAAUUUUUGUUAAACAUUUACUCAGUUUUAGAUUGUGUGAUUCACUGUGGGGUACAAAAGUAAUUAAGAAGCAUUCCUGAUGUAGUGAGUAAAGUUAAGAAGAGAAGCUCGCUUUUUUUUUUUUUUCCCUAAACGGGUUUGCUAACAGAACACGGGGGUCAUGAAAACCACCCCUAAAAGCCAAAAUGGGAAAGGAAAAGACUCAUAUCAACAUUGUCGUCAUUGGACAUGUAGAUUCGGGCAAGUCCACCAUUACUGGUCACCUAAUCUACAAAUGCAGUGGCAUCGACAAAAGAUCCAUUGAAAAAAUGGAGAAGGAGGCUGCUGAGAUGGAAAAGGGCUUCUUCAAGUAUGCCUGGGUGUUGGAUGAACUGAAAGCUGAGCAUGAACAUGGCAUCCCCAUUGAUAGCUCCUUGUGGAAAUUUGAGACCAGCAAGUACUACAUGACUAUCAUUGAUGCCCAGGACACAGAGACUUCAUCACAAACGUGACUCCAGGGACAUCUCAUGCUGACUGCGCUGUCUUGAUUGUUGCUGCUGGUGUUGGUGAAUUUGAAGCUGGUAUCUCCAAGAAUGGACAGACCCGAGAACACACCCUUCUGGCCUACACACUGGGUGUGAAACAACUAAUCGUUGGUGUUAACAAAACGGAUUCCACUUAGCCACCCUACAGCCAGAAGAGACAUGAGAAAAUCAUUAAGGAAAUCAGCACUUACAUUAAGAAAAUUGGCUACAACCUCGACACAGUAGCAUUUGUGUCAAUUUCUGGUUGGAAUGGUGACAACAUGCUGGAGCCAAGUGCUAACAUGCCUUGGUUCAAGGGAUGGAAGUCGCCCAUAAGGGUGGCAAUGCCAGUGGAAUCACGCUGCUUAAGGCCGUGGACUGCAUCCUACCACCAGCUCAUCCAACUGACAAGCCCUUGUGCCUGCCUCUCCAGGAUGUCUAUAAAAAUUGGUGGUAUCGGUACUGUUCCUGUUGGCCAAGUGGAGACUGGCGUUCUCAAACCUGGUAUGGUGGUCACCUUUGCUCCAGUCAACGUUACAACUGAAGUGAAAUCUGUUGAAAUGCACCAUGAAGCUUCGAGUGAAGCUCUUCUGGGGACAAUGUGGGCUUCAAUGUCAAGAAUGUGUCUGUCAAGGAUGUUUGUUGUUGCAACGUUGCUGGUGACAGCAAGAAUGACCCAUCAAUGGAAGCGGCUGCUGUCACUGCCCAGGUGAUUGUCCUGAACUAUCCAGGCCAAAUCAGGGCUGGCUAUGCCCCCGUACUGCAUUGCCACACCGCUCACAUUGCAUGCAAGUUUGCUGAGCUGAAGGAAAAGAUUGACCACCGUUCUGGUAAAAGGCUGGAAGAUGGCCCUAAAUUCUUGAAGUCUGGUGAUGCUGCCAUCGUUGAUAUGGUUCCUGGCUAGCCCAUGUGUGUUGAGGGCUUCUCACACUAUCCACCUCUCAGUCGCUUUGCUGUUCGUGAUAUGAGACAGACGGUCGCCGUGGGUGUCAUGAAAGCAGUGGACAAGAAGGCCGCUGGAGCUGGCAAAGUCACCCAGUCUGCCCAGAAAGCUCAGAAGGCUAAAUGAACAUUAUCUAUAAUACCUGCCACCUCAGUCUUAAUCAGUGGUGGAGGAAGAAUCAUCUCAGAACUGUUUGUUUCAAUUGGCCAUUUAAGUUUAGUAGUAAAAGACUGGUUAAUGAUAACAAUGCAUUGUAAAACCUUGAGAAGGAAAGGAAAAUGUUUUGUGGACCACUUUGGUUUUCUAUUUUGCGUGUGGCAGUUUUAACUUACUAGUUUUUAAAAUCAGUCCUUUUUAAUGGAAACAACUUGAUCAAAAAUUUGUCAGGGAAUUUUGAGACCCAUUAAAAAAGUUUAAUGAGAAAAAAAAAAAA